UUAAAAUUUUUAUUUUUGGUUAUAAUUUCUAAAUUAAUUAUGAUAUUUAAAAUUACGUACCAGAUAACUCGGCUAUACGUAUUAAGCUUUAACUAUUUUUAUUUUAUUAUUAUUUUUUUUUAUUUAUUAAUUUAUUUUUUUUUGUGAAAAAUAUGAAGAUUAUAUUUUAAUAGGAAAUAAUAUUUAGUUUAUUAUUGACUUGGUUUAGUAUCCAAUUAAUAAAAUAUUAAAUUAAUCUAAAGUAAGGUUAUAUUAAAUAGAAAUAAUUUGUCUGAAAUAACAUUUUUUUUUGGGAUUUGAUGGUUAAUUGGUUAAAACACCUUUUAACUAUUUUUAUUGUUUUUUGAAUGACUCUUAAAUUUAUUUAUUUUAUUAAUUAAAUAUUAUUAUUGAGGUAAAUACAAAAAUUAUAAAAUAGUCUUAAUUUAGUCACAAUUUUUUAUAAUAUGGAUAUAAUUUAGUUAAUUAUUGAAAUUGGAAAAAAAAGUAAAUUAAAAAUUAAUUUUUUUUUGAAUUAAAUCUUUAUUUAGUACUAAUUGUCCAUCAUUACUUUAUAAGUAAAAGUUGUAGCAAAGUAGAUUUAUAUGAAUUUGAAUCUAGGA
This 602-nucleotide ribosomal RNA is filed under the name Meloidogyne graminicola. Its description in RNAcentral is "12S ribosomal RNA". The record is from RNAcentral. Lineage: Eukaryota; Metazoa; Nematoda; Chromadorea; Rhabditida; Meloidogynidae.